This 11530-nucleotide long non-coding RNA is filed under the name Sorghum bicolor (sorghum). Its description in RNAcentral is "long non-coding RNA (SBIC_LNC018352)". The record is from RNAcentral. Lineage: Eukaryota; Viridiplantae; Streptophyta; Magnoliopsida; Poales; Poaceae.
GGGAGCGGAGGUGCACCUCGAGGGAGGCGCAGUGCGCCCACCGGCGCUUCCACAGGUCGCGCCACCCGCGAGCGAGCGCCCCCGUGCGGAUGGCGUUCUUCAGGGAGAGGUGCGUCAGGAUGUGCAUCCGCAGCUCGUCGGGGAGCGCGGAGAUGCGGUCCACCGGGAUCGCAUCCGAACCCACCGCCUCGCACCGGUCAUCCAGCCCAUCCACCCUUUGCCUCUUCGAUCCGCCGCCGCCACCGUCAUCGCCGCCGGCCGAGUUCAUGGCCAUUUCCCGCUCGUCCCCAAUUUGGGGAAUACCCUACUCUCCCUCUCCCCGAGUCCACCGCCCAGAAACCAAAGCGCCGCUGGGCGCGUUGCGUGCGAAUCUGCGACUGCGAGCCUGCGAGGUUAAAGAAAAGGAGUUGGGCCAUACUGGGCCGAAACGUGGACGCUCUGCCACAGUUUUCUGCUCUUGGCCCAUGCGUAAGCCUUGUGAUUGUACUGGCAAACUUUUAUUUAUUUAUUUUAUUUAUUCUCAGUUUAAGAAAACUACUUUUGUUUCCCAUAAUAAGAGGGGAAAAAAUGCUUCCAAUAACAAGGCAGCCUGCAGCCUUGCUUAGUCAGUAGCCCAUGGGAAAAAGGUUUUGCAAAAAAACAAGAAGGAGCUCUACACUACACCCAGAUGGACAAAACUUUAAAAUCAAACUUUGGCAGUGCUGGACCUUGCUAAUGAAUUGGGAGGGGCCCACCCAAUAAGACUAAGAGAGUAGUAGUGUACACAAAGCAUCAAAUAGUGAAAUUAACUACAGCUGCACAUGUGCUUAAUCAAGUUUUGUAGGUUAGCUGGGACCAUGGCCCAACCUUGGCCAUAAAUAAAACUCCUGCUGCACAUGUGCAUGGCAUCUGAAUAUCUGAUGACUGAUAUCCAUUUGGAGGACGAUAACACAAGAUAAAGCCCACAAUUUCAAUUAUAUUGAAAAGAACAAGGCAGAUAGAGAACCAUAUGCUCAACUAAGGCUUUGUUUAGUUCGCAAAAAUUUUCAAGAUUCUCCAUCACAUCGAAUCUUUGGUCACAUGCAUGAAGCAUUAAAUAUAAAUGAAAAUAAAAACUAAUUGCACAGUUUACCUGUAAUUUGUGAGAUGGAUCUUUUGAGCCUAAUUAUUUUUUGUUUGUAUAAUAUUUGUCAAAUAAAAACGAAAGUGCUACAGUAGCCAAAAACGAAAAUUUUAACGAACUAAACAAGACCUAAAGCGAACUAAACAAGUCCUAAAGCACCGUACACCUCCAGCCACCAGGAGUAGCAACAGCAUGUUAGAUAGGAUUCACCACAGAGUUCACAUCCCCAGCUGAUGUAGUCAUGUACCAUUGGCUUUGCCGACGCAUCAGGUCAUCAGCCAUGCACAAUGCCCACACAACAAAGAAGGCAGCCACUCCCGGUAGUGCAAGACAAGAUAAGCAAGAUGAUGUCAGGAAAGAUGAUACAUUUAAAUCAGAAAGCAAAAGCACGAACCAACAGGAACCGAGGGGCACAAAACCUUGAAAAAAUGAAAUAACUAUUGAAACCGAGAUGUUCUCACUCAAAAGAUAAAGAGAAAGGAAACGGUGAUCUUUGGUUUCUCUGCCCUCUUUCAUAUAGUUACAAGAUGAUAAUAUUUAUUAAAUUCAACACUAACAGUGGCAGCAUUGCACUUCGCCACUUUGUAAUCAAUAGGGAAAAUGCCAAAAAGACUACAAGUCAUGUAAAUAAGAACAAACCCCCCUGCUUUGAUACAAUCUGAUACCUCAAGGUAGCAAAUGAAGAAGGAAGAAGACUGACAACAAUAACAUCAUCAAUAAUUCUGAUCCACAACUUCUUUCAUCUUUGUUUGACUUGUUAAUAUGGCAAAGCUGCCCCCCCCCCCCCCCCCCCCCCCCAACACACACACCAUUACUCAAUUAGCAACCAUAAACCAUGAAAAAUCAUUGACAACAAAAUUCUGUAACCAAGUUUGCUUCUCUUUCGCAGACCCCACCGCAUGGCAAUCACAACAGAUGAUUAAAUAUUCAAAUCCAUCACUAUCAGAAUUGCACUCUGUUUAUCAAUCAGGCUACUUCUUGAAAGUUAUCAUAUAAAAAAAAUGUUGGCAACAAGACUACAGGCCAUGAAAGUAAGCACAGACCUCUUCACUUUGAUUCAAUCUGAUACCUCAAGGUAAAUAUCAACCGAUAAGAUAUAACAUAUCAUUAUGGGAGUUGCUAUAUUUCAGGUGCAUGAAUUUGCAGGCAACAAUUUUAUACAAUCAACAAGUAUAAUUAAAAGGACAACUCACAAGAGACAAGUCAUAAUUUUUUUUCUUCUAUUAGCCAAAUAAACAAUGAAAAAAUUACAUGCUGCCCGAACAACAACGAAAACUCAGGCACCUAGAAUAUAGGAGAAGUGUGAUCCACAGCUUAACUCAUAUUCGUUUGAGUUGUGAAAGAUAAUAUGAAGCUCCAGAAUUUUUUUUUAAAGAGGAUCAACUCUGCUUUUAAGAAAGCACAACGUAACAGGUUCGCUGGGGUUACCAGCCACAUUACAAUUCACGGCUAUAUCAGCCCAAAACCAGGAAGGUAAAGACAACAUCUAGAGCACAACAAAAACAAAAACUGUUAAAUCUCGAAGACAUCAGUAGCAGUGGAAAUCUUGGGUUUAAAGUCCUUCAGCCAGCGUCUAAUUGCCUCCAGCACCUGCCACACGCGCUCCUUGUCUUUCUCCUUCAAAAGGAUACUCCAUCUCUGCAAGAAUGAUAUCGCCACAUAUAUCACAUCAGUUGGCAUUUUAACAAAAGUUUUCUCAAUUGCCAUCUUGUUCCGCGUAAUCCAUAACGCCCAGGCAAAACCCGCGAAGAAAAACAUCAUCAACCGCUUAGGUAGAGGCCCCGUGCCAUGUAACCAGGUCAUAGACAUAUCUUCUAUGGAUCUAGGUAAAAAAUCUAGUUCAAAGAUAUCCUGUAAAACCCCCCAAACUAACCGAGCCAAGUGACAACUAAAUAACAUAUGAUUGAUACAUCAUCAUCAUAAGGAUAAUAUUAACAUGUUAAAUACAUCAUGCAAGUGGUACCAGGACAGCAAAGCAAGAGCAUAUUGGAACACCAUGCAUUAUUAAUACUUCACUAAGAGUAAUAUUCAAGAAAGAAAUUAAGGAGACAACAUUGGUUUCUUGAUAUCUUACAAUUUUCUCAGUAAGAACUGGAACCAAAAUGUUAAUGUCCUGAUAGGCUAGUAUUACUAUCUUUAGGGCUCUGAUUCGACUGGUGACUGCACUAUAGAUUGAUAUAGGCCUUAUGAUAUGGCUGAGUUGCUGCAUUAUCAGACUCAGUAAACAUUAUCGUGCCAUUGACCAAAGCUUCUUUGAGAAGCGAAAGGUCCGCUUCUGAUGCACCGGGCGAAUCCACUGGAGUGACAUUGCGAGAAACUAUUAACAGUUUCUGCAGAGAGCUAGCCUUCCUCAAUAGAAAACUCACUAGCUGCACCUCGGUGGGGCACCAGUUGAAGUUCAUGACCUUUAUCAUGACAAGGUUGUCUAAGCCAUCUUCCGGUGGCUCUUCCCGCACCUGAUCAAUAGAACCUUCUGUGGGCUUUAAUCUAUAUGCCGGGAGCUACAAAGAUGAACCAUAGUAAAAAACACAGGAUGACUGUGAAGCAAAGAAAUUACAAAGGCAUUGAUUGUGUUAACCUGCACAAAGAGCCUCUCCAGAUUAGGACACUGGAAGGUCUUGAGGAACAGAUAGAGGUUAGCUAGGUUGACAGCUUUUGUCUGUAACAUGAGUAGGUGUAGCUCUUUCAAUCCAUGUAAGUUGAAAUUGGGCAAUUGGGCACUGACCCCAUCAACUGACAAGACAGAUGCACCCUAAAAUAAAAGGCAUGGUUAGCUUAGGAAACCAUGAAUUUUUUUCCUUUCAUAUUUAUGGAAAUCAAGCAACUAAAAGCUACUCCUAAGUGACAAGAAGACCUGAAAUAAUAAACAAGAUUGAAUUCGGAGAAAGUACCGUGAGAGCUUUGUAACUGAUAGUGAGAACGUUGAGUCUGGAUAAAUCCUUCGGGAGAGAUUUCCUCAACUUAUCGAUAUGCCACUCUUUCAUCAUUACUGAGUCAUAUAACUGAAUAUAAAGAUCAGAAAGCACAGCAUCGCGUGGAAUGGAUAAAGGCAAGUUGGAGAAGCAGCCACUGUAGCGGAAGGAGCGCAGGCUAGGAACACGCACGAAGUCCAGACUGGUAAUCCUAUCACAGCCCGCGAUGGUAAGACUCCUCAGGUUCGGCGGCAGCCUGUCGAACACCCAACCACUACAGCUGCAGCAGCGCAGAUCGAGAACGAGGAGGCUGGGGCACAGCGCCAUCAUUUCUCUGAAAGCCUCCCUGCGGAAGGACACCGAUGCGAGCCGGAUGACCUCGAGAGCGUGGAAUGGCCGGGCGCCCUUGUGGUACAUUUUGGAGACGCAGAUGUGGCGGAGCGAGAGGCACGCGAGGGCCGGGCUCGACAGCGGCAAGUGGAAGUUGAGUCUGCUCGCAAUCGUGCCCUGGAGCAUCUCCACGUGGAGGUCCUCGACGCCGCACUCGGCAGCGUAAUCGAGAAAACGCCGGAGUUCCGAGGACUUGAGGUUGGAGAUGUCGACGACCAGGGAGAAGCGCUCGAGGCGGCGGCGCGGGCGCGGCUCGCGCUCCAGCACGUCCAGCUCUCUCCCCAGGUCGUCGUGGGAGCGGAGGUGCACCUCGAGGGAGGCGCGGUGCGCCCACCGGCCCCUCCAUAGGUCGCGCCACCCGCGAGCGAGCGCCCCCGUGCGGAUGGCGUCCUUGAGGGGGAGGUGCGUCAGGACGUGCAGUCGCAGCUCGUCCGGCAGCGCCGAGAUGCGGUCUACCGGGAACGCAUCCGAAGCCACCGCCUCGCAUCGGUCAUCCACCCUUUGCCUCUUCACUCCGCCGCCGCCGCCGCUGUCGGAACCGAUGGCCAUUCUCGGAACCGCCGCCGCCGCCACUCGCUUCGUUCCUCAACCCAAACUCCGGAACCAGAAAGGCAGAAACCGAUUGUCUUUUUUCUUUUUUGAGAAAAAAAAAAUCAGAAACCGAUGUGCUGCCGGAGUUUUGGGCUCUUGGCCCAUGCGUAAGCCAACGUCCUUUUUAGGCCACUCACAAUGCACACUCUAUCAUAGAGUCUAAAGUUAUUUAUUAUCUCGAACAAUGUGGAUUUGAAGUCUAAAUAAGACUUGGAGUCUUAUUUUUUCUACCUCUUUCUUCAAUAAAUAUGCUGCCACAUCAGCAAAAUACCAUAAAUAAUAUGUAAUUAAGUGUCUUCAACUCUGUGAUAGAGUCUUGUAUUGUGAGUGCCCUUACUAGGCACUGUUUAGUUAAAGGAAAAGUAACUCAGCUUCGUGAACCUAUACAACCACUAAUUAAUACCACAGGAUCUAGAUCUAAUGUUUGAGAUUUUUUUUUCACUUAAACCCUCCCAUCUGGAUACACACGGGUUAGAUUUAAAUCCAUAGGUGAAGGGGUUUAAGUGAAAAAAAAACCUCAGACGUUGGAUCUAGAUCAUGUGGCCUUAAUUGGUGAUUGCAUAGGUUGCACACGAAGCUGGGUUGCAUAUGAUACGUUGUCUAGUUACUUUUUUUUUUGCAAAAUGACUACUAUAUCACUUUAAUUUGUAUUUGAUGAUUAUUGUCUAAUUAUGGACUAAUUAAGCUUAAAAGAUUCAUCUCGCAAAUUACGGGUAGUGUACAAUUAGUUAUUUUUUAUCUAUAUUUAAUGCUCCAUGCAUAUGCCAUAAGAUUCGAUGUGAUGAGAAAUCUUGAGAAGAUUUGCAAAAUUUUUGGGAACUAAACAGCCUAGGAAAUAAAAUUUGGUUACUCUAAAAAAGGAAAUAAAAUUGUCAUAUUUUUGUUCAAAUAAAUGUUACUAGGAAAUAAAAUAAGCUGACAGAAAACAUAAGUCAUUUAAAUGAUUUUUAGUACUUUAUCCCAAAUUAUGAAUUGUCCAGAAAGAUAACUAGAAAGUACUCCCUUUGUUCCAAAUUAUAAGUUGCCUUAAUUUUUUUUGGUUCAUCCAUUUUUAUAUGUAUCUAGACAUAUUAUCAUAUCUAGAUGUAUAUCAAAAAUAGAUGUACCAAUAAAGUCAAAACGACUUAUAAUUUAGAAUGAAGGAAGUAAGAAAUAGUAACACAUAUACCCAUGCCAUUUAAUAUACAGUUGCACCGAAAAACUAACUCUAGAGAGAAAACUACAUACUCUCUCCAUAACUAUAAAAAAGUUAUUUUGGAUAAGGUUUGGGUUAAAUAUUGGAAAUAUAAAUCACGAAUAACUUUUAGGUUGUUGAGUUUGGAAAUGUGAAAACUAUAUAAAUUUGUCUUGAAAAAUACUUUCAUAAAAGUAUGCAUAUACCACUUUUUGAUAUUUUUUUUUAAAAAAACAAUGAGUCAAAGUUAGGCUUUGGAGACCAUUUCGCUGUCUUAAACAACUUUUUUUUAUAGGUGUGGAGGGAGUAUGGGAUGAAUGAUGUUUUGUGACAUGUGGACACUUUAUUUUCUGUGAUGUAAACUCAUGACUUAUUUGCUAUGAGAUGAACUCAUUUAAUUAUGGAUUCAUGAGAUAACUCAUUUAGGUUCAAUUUAUGGAUUUGUGAGAUAACACAUUUAGGUUUAAUUUAUGGAUUUGUGAGAUGAACUCAUUUGGGCUUAAUUUAUGGGUUUGUGAGAUAAAUCAUUUAGGUUCAAUUUAUGGAUUCGUGAGAUAACCAAUUUAUGGAUUUGUGAGAUGAACACAAGGACUUAAUUUAUGGGUUUGUGAGAUGAACUCAAUUACUCUCAAAUUAUGAUUUUGUAAUAUUUAUAACUCUAUCACAUAUGUUUUUUUUGUUUAAAUUAUGGUCAAAUACGACCCAUGUACUGAUGUACAAUGGUGGCGGCCAUCCAACCACACGCAGUGACGCAGCCGGCCGCCCCGCCAGCCAGGCAGCCACCCAAGCAACCAGGCAUGCAGGUGCUCAGCAGUCAGUACGGUCAAAUUUGCGUAAGGAUAAUUUUGUCUUUCCGGGAAAAAAAGGUAAAAGAGUUAAAGUGGCAGGGAAACAAGAAAAUCAUAUUUUGCAAAGCCCAUAAUUUCAGCCAGCAAAAAUCCAAUUUUCUCAAAAAUAGAUGGGCCAUUCAGAGCCAAAGCUGAAUGCGGACUGAAUUUUGAAUUUUUGGCCCAUGCAGCUUUUACUUUCUAAUUAAGAAAGCGUACUUCUUUUAUUUCAAGUAUAAUAAUAAAAGAGAAAAAUCUUCCAAUAAUCAAGAAGCCUGGAGCCUUGCUAUUCAGUACACAGUAGCUGGUCUGAAAAAGAAUUUUUCAAAACAAGAUGGAGUUCCACACCCAGAUGGACAAAACUUCGGAAUCAUACUUGAAACGAUCAUGCAAAAUAUAAGGCCUUGUUUAGUUCACCCAAAAAACCAAAAACUUUUGAAGAUUCCUCGUCAUAUUGAAUCUUGUGGCGCAUACAUGAAGCAUUAAAUAUAGUCAAAAAUAAAAACGAAUUACAUAGUUUGCUUGUAAAUCGAGAGAUGAAUCUUUUGAGUCUAGUUAGUUCAUAUUUAGACAAUAUUUACCCCAAACAAAGAAAAGUGCUACAGUGGCCGAAAACUUUUCAUUUCGGCAACUAAACAAGGCCUAAAACUCAUUCAUGAAGAGAGUCCGCAGCAACAGUUUUGUAUUAAGAGGCUGCAUAAAAUUAAUCAGAUGAUGAAAAGUAAUGUUAUGAAUUCCUCAAUGAUUUUCAGAGGAAUAUUACAACGAUGAAUUUAAUUGGCUAAGUAACACCAACUGGAAAUGAUGGUGUCAAUGAUAGUAUGCAUAAACUUGUGAAGUUUGAUUCAAGAAAUUCACCACUCGGCCAUGCAGAAACAAAAGUUCUAACAGAUAAUAGUGAAAUAUUAUCGUAUCAACUUAUGCAAAAAAAAAAAGUUGUUCACUUAACAAUAUCAAAACUCAAAAGUGAUCUUCAGGACUGACCAGUUUUCAUUUUAUUUUUCAACGAUGUAUGGAGCACUGAAUCUUAGUCCUCCACGGGUGACUAAAUUGUCUGUCCCUGAGUUAUCUUAAGCGUUGGAGUAUCAAUCAAACAUAAUAGAUAUUCUAAUAUAAUCGACUAAUUGAGCCUAGCUGCAUCUGUAUUCUGUUUACUACUACUAUAUAUCUGAAAUUUUCUUAUAAUUAUAUAUGUGCAUUGUUCUUACCUAAGUGCACCUUUGCUGAAUGGAACAUUACAGAUCCACAUAAAAAAAAUGAUAUCAGCAUUCAUUUAACAUAUUGAUAAAGUUUUAUUAAAUACGUACAAUAGCCAAUAGGCCAUUGAACUUUGCAUGCAGUGCCAGCUCCACUUGAGCAGAAAAUGACUGUAACUUAAACUGAUGCUCAUGUAGACAAGCAAAGCACGCACAAGCUCGAGAUCUGGUUCUUUUAUGGUACCUACUCUAUGUACUAGUUGAAGCAUUAGGACAUCAGCCAUGCCCAACUCCCGAACAUAUAGGUCUGUUCCCAGUAGCAGCAACACAAUGAAGAUGACUUCAUCAUGAGUAGAAACUAGAAACAUUAGAUCAAGCAACCACCAUAUUGGCAGCGAAAACAUGAGAACAACAAAAAAACAAGAGUAUGAGAUUAAAAAAAACAAGAGCAUGACACAGCUCUAGAUGCACAAGAUUACCCCUAUGAUAUCAUCCCAUGGUAUCACUGCCCUUUAUGGGUAGGCAACUAGAAAGCAAGCAAAGUACCAAACUCAUAAGAGCCAGGGGGUGCUUUAAAAAUCGACAUAUGUUGUACCACAUGAAUGUAGAACAAAUGCAGGACUAAAUAUAAAGACCUGAGAUAGGAAAGUUCCUUUCCUGACUGAAACCCUGAGCUCUAUGCACUAAAAAACAAACAACAGCAUCAGAUUCUCUGUCCACUUUCAUGAUCACAAAGCACAAAGCUCGAUUAUAACUUAUAAAGUAUGAUCGGAGCAAUAAUUAUAAUGUUCAGAACUGUUAUGAUAAUUAUUGAAAACGUUGACAAGAAAACAAGAAGACAAAAAGGUAAAUAGUGCAGACUAGCUACCCCCUGAACCCCAAACACACCAAAAAAAUAAUGCUACUUAAAGCAGACAAGAAGCUCCAAAGAGUGGUUUUAUUAUCCAAUCUCCUAUGCGCUAAACCAUAUUUCAAGUACAUAUCCCUUUUUCCCUUCGGUCCAUAGCAAAAGGAGAUAGAGAACCAUUACUCAAUUAGCAACCAUGAAAAAAUGUUAACAGAAUUUUGAAAGCAAGUUUGCUUCUCUAGUUCGCAUUCCAUGGCAAUUGCAACAGAUAAUCAAAUCCAUCACUAUCAGCAUUGCACUCUCUGUUAUCAAUCAGGCUACUUCCUGAAAGUUACCAUAUCAACGAAUAUGUUGGCAACAAGACUACAAGUCAUGUAAGUAAGCACAGACCUCUUCACUUUGAUUCAAUCUGAUACCUCAAGGUAAAUAUCAACGAGGCAGAUAAAUGGCAAUAUAUAGCAUUAACAUUAUUUCUAGUCCACAUUUGAGUUGUGGUAGAUAAUAUGAAGCGGCAGAGCUCUGAUUCAUCAUCAUAAGGACAAUAUGUCAAAUACAUCAUCCAAGUGGUGCCAGGAUAGCAAAGCAUGAGCACACUGGAACAUCAUGCAUUUUAAAUAUUUUGCUAGUAGUAAUAUUCAAGAAACAAAUUAAGGAGACAACAUUGGUUCUUCAUAUCUUAUCGUUUUAUCAAUAAGAACUACAACCAAAGGAUAAUGCCUAGAUAAGCUGAUAUUACUAUCCAUAGGGCUCUGACUCGACUGGUAACUAAACUAUACCUUGAUAAAGGCAUCAUGAUAUGGUUGAGUCGCUGCAUUGUCGGACUUGGUAAACAUUAUCUUUCCAUUGACCAAAGCUUCUUUGAGAGGUGAAAGGUCUGCUUCUGGUGUAUCAGGCAGAUCCACUGGGGUGACAUUGUGAGAAACUAUUAACAGUUUGUGCAGAGACUUAGCUUUCCUCAACAGAAAACUCACUAGCUGCACCUCGGCAGGGUUCCAGUUGAAGUUCAUGACCUUUACCAUGACAAGGUUGUCCAAGCCAACUUCCGGUGGUUCUUCCCACACCUGAUCAAUAGAACCUUCCAUGGGCGCAUAUCUAUAGUUCGGGAACUACAAUGAAAAACCAUAGUAAAAAAGACAGGACGACUAUGAAACAUAGAAAUUACAAAGGCAUUGAUUGCAUUAACCUGCACAAAGAGCCUCUCCAGAUUAGGACACUGGAAGGUCUUGAGGAACAGAUACAGGUUGGAUAGGUUGACAGCUUUCAUUUCUAACAUGCGUAGGUGUAGCUCUUUCAAACUGUGUAAGUUGAAAUUGGUCAACUGGGCACUGGCUCCAUCGGCUGGCAAGACAGAUGCACCCUAAAAUAAAAGGCAUGGUUAGGCACUGGCUCCAUCGGCUGUCAAGACAUAAGAUUUUUUUUUGUUUCAUAUUUACGGAAAUCAAGCAACUAAAAAUUACUCCUAAGUGACAAGAAGACCAGAGAUAAUAAACAAGAUUGAAUACCAAGAAAGUACCGUGAGGGCUUUGUAACAGAUGGUGAGAACACCGAGGCUGGAUAAAUCCUCCGGGAGAGAUUUCCUCAACUUAUCGAUAUUCCACUCUUUCAUCGGUACUGGAUCAUAUGAGUAUAGCUGAAUAUAAAGAUCAGAAAGCACGGCAUCGCGUGGAAUGGAGAAGGGCAAGUUGGAGGGGCAGCCAUAGUAGCGGAAGGAACGCAGGGUAGGCACACGCACGAAGUCCAGACUGGUGAUCCUAUCACAGCGCGCGAUGGUAAGACUCCUCAGGUUCGGCGGCAGCCUGUUGAACACCCAACCGUAACCGUUGCAGCGGCAGAGCCGCAGAUCGAGAGUGAGGAGGUUGGGGCACAGCGCCAUCAUUUUUGUGAAAGCCUCCGAGCGAAAGGAGACCGAUACGAGCCGGAUGACCUCCAGAGCUUGGAAGGGCUGCUGGGCGCCCUUGUAGAACAUGGAGACGGGGAUGUCGCGGAGCGAGAGGCGCGCGAGCGCCGGGCUCGACAGUGGCAGGUGGAAUUUUAGCUUGGCCGCGGCCGUGGUGCUGCGCGACUGCGUCUCCACGUGGAGGUCCUCGACGCCGCACUCGGUAGCGUAGUCGAGAAAGCGCUGGAACUCCGAGGACUUGAGGUACGAGGUGUCGACGAUCAGGGAGAAGCGCUCGAGGCGGCGGCGCGGGCGCGGCUCGCGCGCCAGGGCGUCCAGCUCUCUCCGCGGGUCGUCGCGGGAGCAGAGGUGCACCUUGAGGGAGGCGCGGUGCGCCCACCGGCGCUUCCACAGGUCGCGCCACCCGCGAGCGAGCGCCCCCGUGCGGAUGGCGUCCUUGAGGGGGAGGUCCGUCAGGACGUGCAGCCGCAGCUCUUCAGGGAGCGCCGAGAUGCGGUCUGCCCGGAUCGCAUCCGAUUCCACCGCCUCACAUCGGUCAUCCAGCUCAACCAGCCUUUGCUUCUUCGCUCCGCUGCCGCUGCCGCUGCAGCCGCC